Molecule: transfer RNA, 22 nt
Filed under: Catha edulis (khat)
Lineage: Eukaryota; Viridiplantae; Streptophyta; Magnoliopsida; Celastrales; Celastraceae
Description: partial tRNA-Leu
Source: RNAcentral
AAAUCCGUCGACUUUAGAAAUC